Molecule: ribosomal RNA, 700 nt
Filed under: uncultured bacterium
Lineage: Bacteria
Description: bacterial SSU rRNA
Rfam family: Bacterial small subunit ribosomal RNA
Source: RNAcentral
AGUGGCGGACGGGUGAGUAACGCGUAAGAAUCUAACUUCAGGACGGGGACAACAGUGGGAAACGACUGCUAAUACCCGAUGUGCCGCGUGGUGAAACCUAAUUGGCCUGAAGAAGAGCUUGCGUCUGAUUAGCUAGUUGGUGGGGUAAGAGCCUACCAAGGCGACGAUCAGUAGCUGGUCUGAGAGGAUGAGCAGCCACACUGGGACUGAGACACGGCCCAGACUCCUACGGGAGGCAGCAGUGGGGAAUUUUCCGCAAUGGGCGAAAGCCUGACGGAGCAACGCCGCGUGAGGGAGGAAGGUCUUUGGAUUGUAAACCUCUUUUCUCAAGGAAGAAGUUCUGACGGUACUUGAGGAAUCAGCCUCGGCUAACUCCGUGCCAGCAGCCGCGGUAAUACGGGGGAGGCAAGCGUUAUCCGGAAUUAUUGGGCGUAAAGCGUCCGCAGGUGGUCAGCCAAGUCUGCCGUCAAAUCAGGUUGCUUAACGACCUAAAGGCGGUGGAAACUGGCAGACUAGAGAGCAGUAGGGGUAGCAGGAAUUCCCAGUGUAGCGGUGAAAUGCGUAGAGAUUGGGAAGAACAUCGGUGGCGAAAGCGUGCUACUGGGCUGUAUCUGACACUCAGGGACGAAAGCUAGGGGAGCGAAAGGGAUUAGAUACCCCUGUAGUCCUAGCCGUAAACGAUGGAUACUAGGCGUGGCUU